UUUCUCUGGGGGGGGAAAAGUGAAAAGCACUUUGAAGAGAGAGUUCAAGAGUACGUGAAACCGUUCAGGGGUAAACCUGAGAAACCCGAAAGGUCGAAAGGGGAAAUUCAUUCGCGUUUCGGAUAUCGGCGAUGAGCAGUCGCGUGACGGACGGCGUUCGCGUCGUCCGCUCCUUGUUGUUUUCCGAACCGGUAACGAACGCGUGCACUUUUCCCCUGGUAGGACGUCGCGAUCCGUUGGGUGUCGGUCUACGGCUCGCGGUGGAGUCCGUGCGCGAUCGUCUCGGCGAUUCGCGCUCGAACCCGCGAUGUUCCGGCCGACUCGCUCGACGGUAUACAGAUGGCGCGAGGCCGCUACGUAAAUUAGCGUCCGACCCGCGGCAAGCGCGUUCGAUGCUAAGACGGCGAUCGGACCUAGCGCCGAUUCCGUUUCCGGACGACUGUUGGCCGUGCGGAUCUCUCGGACAGACCUCGUUCGAAACGCUGAUCUGCGACGCUAUAGCUUUGGGUACUUUCAGGACCCGUCUUGAAAAGCACCAAAGGGGGAUUAUA
Molecule: ribosomal RNA, 551 nt
Filed under: Callosobruchus maculatus (cowpea weevil)
Lineage: Eukaryota; Metazoa; Arthropoda; Insecta; Coleoptera; Chrysomelidae
Description: eukaryotic LSU rRNA
Source: RNAcentral